This 71-nucleotide transfer RNA is filed under the name Marmota monax (woodchuck). RNAcentral's name for it is "tRNA.Ala". It matches the Rfam family "tRNA". From Rfam's summary of the family: Transfer RNA (tRNA) molecules are approximately 80 nucleotides in length. Lineage: Eukaryota; Metazoa; Chordata; Mammalia; Rodentia; Sciuridae. The record is from RNAcentral.
GGGGUUGUGGCUCAGCGGUAGAGCACACACCUAGCACGUGCAAGGCCCUGGGUUCAAUCCUCAGCACCACA